ACGCUGGCGGCACGCCUAACACAUGCAAGUCGAACGAAGUAGCAAUACUUAGUGGCAGACGGGUGAGUAACGUGUGGGUAUCUACCCUUUGGCCUGGAAUAACACGAGGAAACUUGUGCUAAUACCGGAUAAGUCUUUACGGAGAAAGCUUUAUGCACCAUUGGAUGAGCCCGCACUUGAUUAGUUUGUUGGUAGGGUAAUGGCCUACCAAGACUAUGAUCAAUAGCUGAUUUGAGAGGAUGAUCAGCCACAUUGGGACUGAGACACGGCCCAAACUCCUACGGGAGGCAGCAGUGGGGAAUCUUGCACAAUGGAGGAAACUCUGAUGCAGCGAUGCCGCGUGAGUGAAGAAGGCCUUUGGGUUGUAAAGCUCUUUCGUCGGGGAAGAAAAUGACUGUACCCGAAUAAGAAGGUCCGGCUAACUUCGUGCCAGCAGCCGCGGUAAUACGAAGGGACCUAGCGUAGUUCGGAAUUACUGGGCUUAAAGAGUUCGUAGGUGGUUGAAAAAGUUGGUGGUGAAAUCCCAGAGCUUAACUCUGGAACUGCCAUCAAAACUUUUCAGCUAGAGUAUGAUAGAGGAAAGCAGAAUUUCUAGUGUAGAGGUGAAAUUCGUAGAUAUUAGAAAGAAUACCAAUUGCGAAGGCAGCUUUCUGGAUCAUUACUGACACUGAGGAACGAAAGCAUGGGUAGCGAAGAGGAUUAGAUACCCUCGUAGUCCAUGCCGUAAACGAUGUGUGUUAGACGUUGGAAAUUUAUUUUCAGUGUCGCAGGGAAACCGAUAAACACACCGCCUGGGAAGUACGACCGCAAGGUUAAAACUCAAAUGAAUUGACGGGGACCCGCACAAGUAGUGGAGCAUGUGGUUUAAUUCGAAGAUACGCGCAGAACCUUACCAACACUUGACAUGUUCGUCGCGACUCUAAGAGAUUAGAGUUUUCGGUUCGGCCGGACGAAACACAGGUGCUGCAUGGCUGUCGUCAGCUCGUGUCGUGAGAUGUUGGGUUAAGUCCCGCAACGAGCGCAACCCUCACUUUUAGUUGCCAUCAUUAAGUUGGGCACUCUGAAAGAACUGCCAGUGAUAAGCUGGAGGAAGGUGGGGAUGACGUCAAGUCCUCAUGGCCCUUACGUGUUGGGCUACACACGUGCUACAAUGGCAUCUACAACAGGAAGCAAAACGGCAACGUUAAGCAAAUCCCGAAAAGAUGCCUCAGUUCGGAUUGCACUCUGCAACUCGAGUGCAUGAAGCUGGAAUUACUAGUAAUCGUGGAUCAGCGUGCCACGGUGAAUGCGUUCCCGGGUCUUGUACACACCGC
Molecule: ribosomal RNA, 1313 nt
Filed under: uncultured Alphaproteobacteria bacterium
Lineage: Bacteria; Pseudomonadati; Pseudomonadota; Alphaproteobacteria
Description: uncultured alpha proteobacterium 16S ribosomal RNA
Rfam family: Bacterial small subunit ribosomal RNA
Source: RNAcentral